This 581-nucleotide ribosomal RNA is filed under the name uncultured fungus. RNAcentral's name for it is "eukaryotic LSU rRNA". The stretch from base 188 to 341 matches the Rfam family "5.8S ribosomal RNA". The record is from RNAcentral. Lineage: Eukaryota; Fungi.
AAGUCGUAACAAGGUUUCCGUAGGUGAACCUGCGGAAGGAUCAUUAAUGAAAUACAAGAGUGCUCUUUUUAGAGGCUCGACCUAUUCAUUUCCUUACCCUGUGCACAAACUACUCUUUUUACACCCAUUUUAACACUUAAGUUAUAAGAAUGUCAAUAGUCUCUUGAUUGAGCAUAAAAUAUUAUAAAACUUUCGGCAACGGAUCUCUUGGCUCCCGCAUCGAUGAAGAACGCAGCGAAAUGCGAUACGUAAUGUGAAUUGCAGAAUUCAGUGAAUCAUCGAAUCUUUGAACGCACCUUGCACUCUUUGGUAUUCCGAAGAGUAUGUCUGUUUGAGUGUCGUGAAACUCUCAACCCCCCUGUUUUGUACUGAGACAGGCGACGGGCUUGGAUCAUGGCUGUUGUCGGUUCUUGUUAAUCGGCUCGGCUGAAAUAUACGAGUUGCCCAAUUGAAAUCGACGGCUCGACUCGGCGUAAUAAUACUUUUUCGCUGAGGACGUCAUUUUUCAAAUAGUGGUGCUUCUAAUGCAUAUCAUUUGAUCUUUAGACCUCAAAUCAGGCAGGACUACCCGCUGAACUUAA